AUUGAACGCUGGCGGCAGGCUUAACACAUGCAAGUCGAGCGGGGUGAUGGUGCUUGCACUAUCACUUAGCGGCGGACGGGUGAGUAAUGCUUAGGAAUCUGCCUAUUAGUGGGGGACAACAUCUCGAAAGGGAUGCUAAUACCGCAUACGUCCUACGGGAGAAAGCAGGGGAUCACUUGUGACCUUGCGCUAAUAGAUGAGCCUAAGUCGGAUUAGCUAGUUGGUGGGGUAAAGGCCUACCAAGGCGACGAUCUGUAGCGGGUCUGAGAGGAUGGUCCGCCACACUGGUACUGAGACACGGCCAAGACUCCUACGGGAGGAAGCAGUGGGGAAUUUUGGAAAAUGGGGGGAACCCUGAUCCAGCCAUGCCGCGUGUGUGAAGAAGGCUUUAUGGUUGUAAAGCACUUUAAGCGAGGAGGAGGCUCUUUUGGUUAAUACCCAAGAUGAGUGGACGUUACUCGCAGAAUAAGCACCGGCUAACUCUGUGCCAGCCGCCGCGGUAA
RNAcentral lists this ribosomal RNA (503 nucleotides) under uncultured bacterium. RNAcentral's name for it is "partial 16S ribosomal RNA". It matches the Rfam family "Bacterial small subunit ribosomal RNA", at positions 30 to 523 of the family's 1533-position model. The record is from RNAcentral.